This 253-nucleotide ribosomal RNA is filed under the name uncultured bacterium. RNAcentral's name for it is "partial 16S ribosomal RNA". It matches the Rfam family "Bacterial small subunit ribosomal RNA", at positions 524 to 776 of the family's 1533-position model. The record is from RNAcentral.
GACGUAGGGCGCGAGCGUUGUCCGGAUUUAUUGGGCGUAAAGAGCUCGUAGGCGGCUUGUUGCGUCGACUGUGAAAACCCGCGGCUUAACCGCGGGCUUGCAGUUGAUACGGGCAGGCUAGAGUUCGGUAGGGGAGACUGGAAUUCCUGGUGUAGCGGUGAAAUGCGCAGAUAUCAGGAGGAACACCGAUGGCGAAGGCGGGUCUCUGGGCAGUAACUGACGCUGAGGAGCGAAAGCGUGGGGAGCGAACAGG